GCUGCCGUGCAACAAGGGGAAGGCGUGCCGGUUCAAGCGCAGCUGCUUCAGCGAGGAGGACGACGCCGCGUCGGCCGCCAUGCUGCUGCUCGCCUGCGUCGUCUGCGCCCCCAUCCCUCUGAUUAAUUAAUUAAUUAAUUAUCCAUUAGUGAUUACUCCAUCUAGCUACUUAAUUAAUCCCAGUCACACUUCGAGGCUGCUGGCAAAAUCUCUUGUAGUAUUUAAUUAAUGUGCGUGUGUCUUGUGUUGUACUAGUAACUAAAUGUUGAUAAAUAUUAAUAUAAUUCGUCCCCUCCAUCAAAAAUAUCUGUUCACCUCACCUAUGGAUGGUUUAUUCAUUUUUUCUGCCAUUAGUUUGUGAAAUUAUAGUCAGCAUUAUGCACAAUUACAUGCUGAUGCUUGAUUAUAUAUAUAAAAAAAUUGCUGAGUUGUGCACCUAUGCAAAAAAAAAACAAAACAAAACAAAUGGUGUCCAACUGCAUGCUUAGUACAGUGCCCAACUGCCCAUUGGGCCUCAGUAAUGCUUGAAGCUUGCUGGACCCAUGCUUGGGGGAAGACAUAGGCUCAGCCUUGUUUUGGGUUUCGGCCCAGUAAACUCUAUGAGAUCAAAUUGAAAUGGGCUUCUGUGUUCAAGAGAUUCAGGAUUAAAUUACUGUACAACAUGGACGCAAAAAAAUGUUUAUAUUAAAUCAAAGUUGAAGAGAAAUACUUUGCUAAAUUUAUCCCUAUAAAAUUUCUACUACACCUACUGUCGGUGUAGUAUAAUAAAAUCAGAUCCUUCGAUCUAAAGCAACGGAUGACUCAUAAUCAUUCGACGGUAUGUUAAAAAAAUCCUAGAAAAAAAACAUAUGUGCAG
RNAcentral lists this long non-coding RNA (856 nucleotides) under Oryza brachyantha (malo sina). Its description in RNAcentral is "long non-coding RNA (OBRA_LNC003106)". The record is from RNAcentral. Lineage: Eukaryota; Viridiplantae; Streptophyta; Magnoliopsida; Poales; Poaceae.